This 253-nucleotide ribosomal RNA is filed under the name uncultured bacterium. RNAcentral's name for it is "partial 16S ribosomal RNA". It matches the Rfam family "Bacterial small subunit ribosomal RNA", at positions 524 to 776 of the family's 1533-position model. The record is from RNAcentral.
UACGUAGGGGGCAAGCGUUGUCCGGAAUCAUUGGGCGUAAAGAGCGUGUAGGCGGCCCGAUAAGUCUGCCGUGAAAGUCCAGGGCUCAACCCUGGAAUGCCGGUGGAAACUGUCGGGCUGGAGUCCGGAAGAGGCGAGUGGAAUUCCUGGUGUAGCGGUGAAAUGCGCAGAUAUCAGGAGGAACACCAAUGGCGAAGGCAGCUCGCUGGGACGGUACUGACGCUGAGACGCGAAAGCGUGGGGAGCAAACAGG